CCAUCUUGCGGAGGGCUCCCCGGCUCUUCCCCUCUGAGAUUUGGAAGUGCGAGCGUAACAUCAAACAGGGUUGCUGAUUUCCAACAGGAUUUGUGUGGUGAUUAUCCAAUAUUUAUCUUCUCUUUUCACCGGGAGCACACGCCACAUGAACUUGGGCAACUUUCAGAAGCAAAGGAUUCAUUUGCACGCUCUGGAAUUAGUGCCAAGAUGAAAGAGAAGAAAGUGGGAAAAUCAGCGGUCAACUCACUUGAUGCAGCGCAAGUAAAGGUGGCAGCGUGCCACGGGCACUCGCACCACGCAGGACGGGAAGGCCAGGAUGAGAGUGUGACUCGCGCCAUCCAGAGUCAGCGACAACAGCUGCCUGGCCUGCGGAGAGUCGCCAGCGCACCUGCAACAACAACACACAGACGCACGAGGUCAUCUUGAACCUUUCAAAACGUUGCCGAUCCAACGAAAUAACGUGAGGAUGCCUGCUUUUCGUCGGACAGCAAGAACUUCAGGAGUUGCAGAGAUGAAUUCCAUAAGAAGCUUUUGGCCAUUGAAAUUGAACCCACCCCAAGUUGCAAGCGAAAUAUAACAUUUGCAAAGAGCAAAUGUUCAAACUGUGCUGGUGUAACUGCACCAACUCAUAUGAGCGUGUCAAAAAUGAAGCUGCAAGGUGGGCGGCAGAUAACGCGCCAGACAAACAACAAUAAAGAAUUGCCUCUCAAUGGGAAACAUGUCACAUCUUGUAAAGGUGAAUUAUAAGAACAAUAUGUUGUGGCUUUGCUGAAGGGCGAGUGUGGGGGGGGGGGGGGGGGGGCUUUGGCUCUUUGCUACAAUAAGUGACUUCCUGUGAAGUCCUCUCUGUGAUGUUGCCAGGCAACUAGCGAUGAGAAAAUCAGCAACGUUAUACGUGCAAAAAUAAGGAAAGCGUUUCUUACACUGGGGGCUCCGAUUCUUUUUAUGAGAACCAUCAAAAGAAAAAUGUUUUCCGAGUCGUGAGCCGUCACUUAGUCGAUUUAUUGUGUUGUUGCGAGCCGAAAUUGGAGGGUUCGGUCCGAGCGAGCUUCAGAUACGCCA
This is a long non-coding RNA of Phyllopteryx taeniolatus (common seadragon), 1062 nucleotides long. RefSeq lists it as uncharacterized. The record is from RefSeq and is a predicted model, not a curated record. The transcript is spliced from 3 exons. Lineage: Eukaryota; Metazoa; Chordata; Actinopteri; Syngnathiformes; Syngnathidae.